UGCCUAACACAUGCAAGUCGAACGGAUCUUGGCCUCUAGCAAUACAGGUCAGGGUUAGUGGCGCACGGGUGAGUAACACGUGAGUGAUCUGCCUCCGAGACUGGGAUAACCUGCCGAAAGGCGGGCUAAUACCGGAUGAGACCACAGUACCUACGGGUGCCGGGGUCAAAGAUGGCCUCUAUUUAUAAGCUAUCACUUGGAGAUGAGCUCGCGGCCCAUCAGCUAGUUGGCGGGGUAAUGGCCCACCAAGGCUAUCACGGGUAGCUGGUCUGAGAGGACGACCAGUCACACUGGAACUGAGAUACGGUCCAGACUCCUACGGGAGGCAGCAGUGGGGAAUAUUGCGCAAUGGGCGAAAGCCUGACGCAGCAACGCCGCGUGGGUGAUGAAGGCCUUCGGGUCGUAAAGCCC
Molecule: ribosomal RNA, 411 nt
Filed under: uncultured organism
Description: bacterial SSU rRNA
Rfam family: Bacterial small subunit ribosomal RNA
Source: RNAcentral